Long non-coding RNA from Cryptomeria japonica (Japanese cedar), 516 nucleotides. RefSeq lists it as uncharacterized. The transcript is spliced from 3 exons. The record is from RefSeq and is a predicted model, not a curated record. Lineage: Eukaryota; Viridiplantae; Streptophyta; Pinopsida; Cupressales; Cupressaceae.
CCAUCUCACUAGUAUUUAUGAAAACCAUUUCGUUUCACAUUUGGGUACCAAAGUAAGAACAACAACAACAAUGGCCAAGUCUUAUUUACUUGUGUUUAUGGCGCUUCUCUUAGCUUCUGCAGCUCUGCAUGUCUCAUGUAAGAGCAGUACUCAAGAGCUGGCGUUUACAGAGACAGGUGGUGUUAACCACCAUGAUUUUUCUGGGUCAGAUCAGGUUCAUCGUAUGGCUGUUGAGGAGCAUUUGGAUUAUGAGGGUCCUGGUGCAAAUAACCCUCCACCACAUGCACUUUAAGGACAAAUGGCUUCUCCUUCGAGCUUUGGCUCUAAUGGCCGAUUGGGAUGUGAGAUAAUUUAUAUGUAAUAAAUGUUUUUAUGAAUAAAACCAGAAAAAAGUAUCAUUUCUUGUUUGCAUUUAAUUGCUUGGUCGGUAGAGACAGUGUGUCAUAGAUUCGCAUCUAGAUCUUAGAUAUUUGUGGGCCAUUGAAUGAGUAUUAAUGAUGGUGGGGUAUUAUUCAA